GUCUAUGGCCAUGCCACCCUGAACAAGCCCGAUCCCCUCUGAUCUUGGAAGCUAAGCAGGGUCAGGCCUGGUUAGUACUUGGAUAGGAGACCACCUAGGAAGACCAGAUGCUGUACAUG
This 119-nucleotide ribosomal RNA is filed under the name Pteropus alecto (black flying fox). Lineage: Eukaryota; Metazoa; Chordata; Mammalia; Chiroptera; Pteropodidae. The record is from RNAcentral.